GGACUGUAAGUCCUUAAGUAUUGUGGUGAGACUGAGUUUCUCGAUAAACUGGAGAUGGUGAGGAUUAAUGGCUGCAAGAAAGGUAACUCUUCCAAUAUGAUAGGAAGCCAAGUAGUCACCCUCGGUGUAUCAAGAUCUUGGUUUCGGACUAUAUAACAAGUGUUCCCAUCUGUUGGAGCUUGUUGAAGAAUAAUAAAUCCUCAAUUGCUGAUUUUGAUCCAAGUGACUCUUGGUUCCAAAUUCGUUUUGGUGGUCAUAGUCUUCUUUAGUCAUGGUUUGGUUCUAAGCGAGUAAGAAUCUCUUUCCAAUCUUCUCUGUUUUCUCUCUUGUGGUUAUGUACCUCUUCACAUCUGGAGUUUAGUUAGCUUUGUAGGAAUCUGUACUCACAUAUGAAUUCAUUUGGCAUUUGUUUUCACAGCUAUUGAUCGAUAAGGGGGCCUGUUUUAGCUGCCAUAAACUCCAACGAGUUUG
Camelina sativa (false flax) is the source of this 471-nucleotide non-coding RNA. The record is from RefSeq and is a predicted model, not a curated record. Lineage: Eukaryota; Viridiplantae; Streptophyta; Magnoliopsida; Brassicales; Brassicaceae.